This 375-nucleotide ribosomal RNA is filed under the name uncultured delta proteobacterium. RNAcentral describes it as "bacterial SSU rRNA". It matches the Rfam family "Bacterial small subunit ribosomal RNA", at positions 166 to 523 of the family's 1533-position model. Lineage: Bacteria; Deltaproteobacteria. The record is from RNAcentral.
AUACCGGAUAAGACCACGGGACUUAAGUCCUGAGGUUGAAGGCGGGCAGAAAUGCCUGUCACUCGUAGAUGAGCCCGCGUCCCAUCAGCUAGUUGGUGAGGUAAGAGCUCACCAAGGCAAAGACGGGUAGCUGGUCUGAGAGGACGAUCAGCCACACUGGCACUGAAACACGGGCCAGACUCCUACGGGAGGCAGCAGUGGGGAAUUUUGCGCAAUGGGCGAAAGCCUGACGCAGCGACGCCGCGUGAGGGAAGAAGGUCUUCGGAUCGUAAACCUCUGUCGGAGGGGAAGAAACUCCAGGGUGCUAAUACCAUCUUGGAUUGACGGUACCCUCUGAGGAAGCAUCGGCUAACUACGUGCCAGCAGCCGCGGUAA